AGUGAACGCUGGCGGUAGGCCUAACACAUGCAAGUCGAACGGCAGCACAGUAAGAGCUUGCUCUUACGGGUGGCGAGUGGCGGACGGGUGAGGAAUACAUCGGAAUCUACUUUUUCGUGGGGGAUAACGUAGGGAAACUUACGCUAAUACCGCAUACGACCUACGGGUGAAAGCAGGGGAUCUUCGGACCUUGCGCGAUUGAAUGAGCCGAUGUCGGAUUAGCUAGUUGGCGGGGUAAAGGCCCACCAAGGCGACGAUCCGUAGCUGGUCUGAGAGGAUGAUCCGCCACACUGGAACUGAGACACGGUCCAGACUCUUACUGGAGGCAGCAGUGUGGAAUAUUGGCUAAUGGGCUCAAGCCUGAUCCAGCCAUACCGCGUGGGUGAAGAAGGCCUUCGGGUUGUAAAGCCCUUUUGUUGGGAAAGAAAAGCAGCAGGUUAAUACCCCGCUGUUCUGACGGUACCCAAAGAAUAAGCACCGGCUAACUUCGUG
This 492-nucleotide ribosomal RNA is filed under the name uncultured bacterium. RNAcentral's name for it is "partial 16S ribosomal RNA". It matches the Rfam family "Bacterial small subunit ribosomal RNA", at positions 29 to 507 of the family's 1533-position model. The record is from RNAcentral.